GGAGUCUGGGCCGUGUCUCAGUCCCAAUGUGGCCGUUCACCCUCUCAGGCCGGCUACGCAUCAUCGCCUUGGUGGGCCUUUACCUCACCAACUAGCUAAUGCGCCAUAAGCCCAUCCACCAGUGUUUUUAACCUUUAAUAACAAAUCCAUGCGGUUCUGUUACCUAUCCGGUAUUAGUCCCCGUUUCCAGGGAUUAUCCCAGUCUUCGUGGGCAGGUUGCUUAUGUAUUACUCACCCGUUCGCCUCUAGAUCAAAUAAGCAAGCUUAUUCGGUCUCGAUCGACUUGCAUGUAUUAGGCACGCCGCCAGCGUUUAUC
This 316-nucleotide ribosomal RNA is filed under the name uncultured Bulleidia sp. RNAcentral describes it as "partial 16S ribosomal RNA". Lineage: Bacteria; Bacillati; Bacillota; Erysipelotrichia; Erysipelotrichales; Erysipelotrichaceae. The record is from RNAcentral.